GCUGCCUCGGCAGGAGACAGGGAACAGGAGGGGAACACGAGGGGAAAGGGCGUGUGUGUGUCAUGGCAAAGAGAAGACAGAGCAGGCAGUGGCUACAGGGCCUUGUGGGGAGCUGGGCCAGCCGGCCCGGGAGCUGCCAUGGCUCCCCAGGAGGGGACGGCCAUCCUGCGUGAGCUGCGGGCUGAGGGGAGAAAGGAGGGCAGCUGCUUGAAGGAGGGUAAUUUCACAGGCUGACAUAUUGUUUUUCCUCAGUUUUGCUAUUUUUGCUGGAUGGUGAUGGGAGGAGUCAGAGGUGAGCUGUAGGAUUCCCUGGGCCUCCCACCAGCAGCAGGAAGCCCCAGGAUCCCAUUCAGCUUUAUCCUUCCUAAGCAAAGCACCUGCAUGCUUGCCUUUCUAAUACCUUUUCUUUCCCCCAGUGAAGUAACUUGGAUUUUUUUAAUGUUUACUCACUUCCUAAUUUGCAAGGAUUAAUUAAUUCACAAUGGCUCUCUCAGUCAUGGCUGUGAAUUAGCAAAUCAUUAGUGUGCCAAGAGCCCUCUCACAUGCUGUAUUUAAUCCGUGUGUCUAAGAGCUUAGGAAAAUCCUGCUCCCUCUGCUCAGGGAUUUCUCUGCAGUGUGCAGGGAUGGUGAUUGCACUGAACCCAUUUCUGGCCUGGUCUCUUUUCCAAUGGUCAUUUGUAGAGCAGUAGUGUCUAUCCUCCAGGAGCUGAUAUUGAAUCCCCUUAACAGUGCUCGCCUUUAGCUCCUCCUCUUCUCUCCUCAGUACCCUGAUUAUUAUGUUUAAACUUGAAUGGUUUUAGCCUAAGUAUGGGUUAACGAUUUGAACUCAGAUAUACACACCCUUUCCAUGUUGGCUUUGAAAUCAACUAUUCCCAGCUCACAAGUGGGAUAAAUGAGCUGCCAAAAUUUUGCUGACCACAUGCUGUGAGUCGAGGUCCCAUCACCUCGCACAGGCACCACGACCUCUCCUGCUUCAGGUCCAGUGCUGCUGCAUCUUGUACAUCUUCCUACAAGAGCAACACACAGCUGAUGGAGACCCCCCAAGAGGUCAGAGGCAGCUCUGCCCCCCGACAUCUGAGGGAACUGUGACGUGUGGAGCUCAGAGCAGCAACAGGCAGGAAAGCACCAAGAAACCCAACCCAAACCCUCCCCAGCAGCGAGACAGGGGGAUGUGGAGACAGGUAAUCAAGAAGAAGCUGAAGAUAGAAGCUGUUGGCUCACGAGAAGCUUAUGGACAUUUUGGGAAAGCAGGUCCCACCUGGCUGCAUGCCGGUGCUGCAUCAGACCUCCUGGGGCAAGGUUUCACCUCGUGGCUUGUAAGAAAUUCAUGACCUAUUCCAUUAAAAAUGUAUUUUCUGCUUUAAA
Long non-coding RNA from Passer domesticus (house sparrow), 1365 nucleotides. RefSeq lists it as uncharacterized. The record is from RefSeq and is a predicted model, not a curated record. NCBI's taxonomy places the organism in Eukaryota, Metazoa, Chordata, Aves, Passeriformes, Passeridae. The transcript has 2 exons.